RNAcentral lists this ribosomal RNA (1041 nucleotides) under Triticum aestivum (bread wheat). Its description in RNAcentral is "partial small subunit ribosomal RNA". The record is from RNAcentral. Lineage: Eukaryota; Viridiplantae; Streptophyta; Magnoliopsida; Poales; Poaceae.
AUGCGCAGGUCGAGCCGAUGGAGGAAGGAUUUGACGGUGAGGCAGGCAGGGCUUGGAAGCUUCUUGUAUGGUCACUUGCUCGAUGCUGAUUGGUGGAAGAUAUUGCGGGGCUCGGAGGGCUUUAAACUAGUGCAGUUGGUUAAAGAGGCAUGGACAGUGUUAUGUGAUAAAACCAAGAGACUAUUGUAUGAUCAAAAAAGGAAAGUAGUUGUACUACAACAGAAUACAGCCCAAUCAAAUAGGACAAGUUCAACUCAAGGUGCAACCAAUGGCUUCGAGAAUUUCGCAGCCAAAUCACCUGCUUUCAAGCAAAGAGCAAACAAGCCAAAGAACGGAAGAAGAGAGGAGAGUGAUCAAAUUUGGCCUUCAUACGACGAUGAUGAUGGCAUGCCUCGUUUCAACACAUUUAUUCAGAAAGUUAUCUCCUUGAACCCGUUUAAGAUCAAAAUAAGUUACCUCGAGUCGAAGACGAAUAGUGAAUUUGGACCAUUGAGUUGGGUUUCUUCUGGCUUUGCAAAGACGUGUGGUGAUUUCAGGAUUGCCAAACAUGAAAUCUGUGAUGUGGUCAACUUGUUCUCUCACCGGAUUAAAUGGGAGAAAGGCAAUAUCUGGGCUUUGUACCGAAACUGGUCACCUGAAUGGGAUGGAGAUACUCCAGAUAAUGUGCUGCAUGUCUAUGAUCUGGUUGACGUACUAGAUGAUUAUGACGAAGAUAAUGGAAUCUCUCUAAUUCCAUUUGAGAUGAGUUCAUUUCCAUUUGUGAGGGUGCUAACCGAACCCCAAGCGGCAGCAUUGUCUUGGCAUAAUGCGAAGAAAGUCCUUUGCAACGCAUCAUCCGUUUUGUCUUCAGGCUCCGCCUCUGCUGGUACCCUGGAGCCAGAUUCAUCAUACACCGCGGUCGACGGGCCUUCUUAUUCAUAUCAGGUUCGGAACCAAAAUAGAAUUACAGGGCUUAUUGUCGGUGCGUGCCGUCUCUGCUUGCGGGAUGGGAUAAUGAGGAUUGAGAAGGAGAACGGGGCGGGAUGGGUUAAUGAGGAUUAG